GCGAACGGGUGAGUAACACGUGGGCAAUCUGCCCUUCACUCUGGGACAAGCCCUGGAAACGGGGUCUAAUACCGGAUACCACUCCUGCCUGCAUGGGCGGGGGUUGAAAGCUCCGGCGGUGAAGGAUGAGCCCGCGGCCUAUCAGCUUGUUGGUGGGGUAAUGGCCCACCAAGGCGACGACGGGUAGCCGGCCUGAGAGGGCGACCGGCCACACUGGGACUGAGACACGGCCCAGACUCCUACGGGAGGCAGCAGUGGGGAAUAUUGCACAAUGGGCGAAAGCCUGAUGCAGCGACGCCGCGUGAGGGAUGACGGCCUUCGGGUUGUAAACCUCUUUCAGCAGGGAAGAAGCGAAAGUGACGGUACCUGCAGAAGAAGCGCCGGCUAACUACGUGCCAGCAGCCGCGGUAAUACGUAGGGCGCAAGCGUUGUCCGGAAUUAUUGGGCGUAAAGAGCUCGUAGGCGGCUUGUCACGUCGGAUGUGAAAGCCCGAGGCUUAACCUCGGGUCUGCAUUCGAUACGGGCUAGCUAGAGUGUGGUAGGGGAGAUCGGAAUUCCUGGUGUAGCGGUGAAAUGCGCAGAUAUCAGGAGGAACACCGGUGGCGAAGGCGGAUCUCUGGGCCAUUACUGACGCUGAGGAGCGAAAGCGUGGGGAGCGAACAGGAUUAGAUACCCUGGUAGUCCA
RNAcentral lists this ribosomal RNA (685 nucleotides) under Streptomyces sp. W1_22. RNAcentral's name for it is "bacterial SSU rRNA". It matches the Rfam family "Bacterial small subunit ribosomal RNA", at positions 98 to 797 of the family's 1533-position model. Lineage: Bacteria; Bacillati; Actinomycetota; Actinomycetes; Kitasatosporales; Streptomycetaceae. The record is from RNAcentral. RNAcentral also lists the same sequence under 1 other name.